RNAcentral lists this ribosomal RNA (292 nucleotides) under uncultured eukaryote. RNAcentral describes it as "partial 18S ribosomal RNA". It matches the Rfam family "Eukaryotic small subunit ribosomal RNA", at positions 6 to 294 of the family's 1831-position model. The record is from RNAcentral.
GGUUGAUCCUGCCAGUUGUUAUAUGCUUGUCUUAAAGACUAAGCCAUGCAUGUCUAAGUAUAAGCAAUCUUAUGCGAAACUGCAAACGGCUCAUUAUAUCAGUUUCAAACUUCUUUGGCGCAAACUUACAAGGAUAACUUGGGGAAUUCUCUUGCUAAUACUCGUUGAUAUUGUCUGUGGAGGGUGCACUUGUGUAUCCUCUCUGACGUACGUACCCCUACUUGUAACCAAUGCAACUUUAAGUUGAAACUAGGUAAAGAUGCGAAUCGCGAGCCAUUGAGCUCUCGAUGCC